RNAcentral lists this ribosomal RNA (441 nucleotides) under Scolopendra calcarata. RNAcentral describes it as "partial 16S ribosomal RNA". It matches the Rfam family "Bacterial large subunit ribosomal RNA", at positions 1829 to 2600 of the family's 2925-position model. Lineage: Eukaryota; Metazoa; Arthropoda; Chilopoda; Scolopendromorpha; Scolopendridae. The record is from RNAcentral.
GGUCCUAAGAAGUAAUUUAAGAUCUGACCUGCUCAAUGUAAAUAAAUGGCCGCGGUAUUUUGACCGUGCAAAGGUAGCAUAAUAAUUAGGCUAUUAAUUGUAGUCUUGAAUGAAAGGUUGGACGAGGGAAAUCUUUCUUAUUUAUAUUGUUGAAUUUAAAUUACUAGUAAAAAUGCUGGUAUGAUACAAAAAGACGAGAAGACCCUAUUGAGUUUUAUAUUUAUUUUUUUGACUAUAUUUGGUUGGGGCGAUAAUUUAUAAACAUUUUAUUUUAUUGAUCCAUUAAUAAUGAUUAUAGAAUAAAUUACCAUAGGGAUAACAGCAUAAUUUAAUUGGAAAGUUCUUAUUGAUAAUUAAGUUUGUGACCUCGAUGUUGGAUUAAGAUUCCUUUUGGGUGUAGGUGCUUAAAGAGGUAGACUGUUCGUCUAUUAAAAUCUUACA